This 20-nucleotide small nuclear RNA is filed under the name Arabidopsis thaliana (thale cress). Its description in RNAcentral is "snRNA_16862". The record is from RNAcentral. Lineage: Eukaryota; Viridiplantae; Streptophyta; Magnoliopsida; Brassicales; Brassicaceae.
GAAAUCUCGUGUGGAACAAA